UUAGCUCGUAGUUUUCAUGAGAGUCGAUUGCCAAGAAAACCCACGCCACCUACAACGGUUCCUGAUGAGGUGGUUAGCAUAGUUCUUAAUAUAAGUUUUAAUAUACAGCCUGAAAAUCUUGAGAGAAUAAAAGAAGAACAUCGAUUUUCCAUGGCAGCUGAGAAUAUUGUAGGAGAUCUUCUAGAAAGAUAGAGUUUGAUCCUGGCUCAGAUUGAACGCUGGCGGCAGGCCUAACACAUGCAAGUCGAGCGGUAACAGAUCUAGCUUGCUAGAUGCUGACGAGCGGCGGACGGGUGAGUAAUGCAUAGGAAUCUACCCGGUAGUGGGGGAUAACCUGGGGAAACCCAGGCUAAUACCGCAUACGUCCUACGGGAGAAAGGGGGCUCCGGCUCCCGCUAUCGGAUGAGCCUAUGUCGGAUUAGCUAGUUGGUGAGGUAAUGGCUCACCAAGGCAACGAUCCGUAGCUGGUCUGAGAGGAUGAUCAGCCACAUCGGGACUGAGACACGGCCCGAACUCCUACGGGAGGCAGCAGUGGGGAAUAUUGGAAAACGGGCGAAAGCCUGAUCCAGCCAUGCCGCGUGUGUGAAGAAGGCCUUCGGGUUGUAAAGCACUU
RNAcentral lists this ribosomal RNA (613 nucleotides) under uncultured bacterium. RNAcentral's name for it is "partial 16S ribosomal RNA". The stretch from base 184 to 613 matches the Rfam family "Bacterial small subunit ribosomal RNA", at positions 1 to 435 of the family's 1533-position model. The record is from RNAcentral.